This 408-nucleotide ribosomal RNA is filed under the name uncultured bacterium. Its description in RNAcentral is "partial 16S ribosomal RNA". It matches the Rfam family "Bacterial small subunit ribosomal RNA", at positions 29 to 526 of the family's 1533-position model. The record is from RNAcentral.
AGUGAACGCUGGCGGCGUGUCUAAUACAUGCAAGUCGAACGGAGUGGCGCACGGGUGAGUAGUGUAUAGCUAAUCUGCCCUACACUAGAGGACAACAGGUGGAAACGGAUGCUAAUACUCUAUAGUGUAGGAUGAGGUUAUAUUGUAUCAGCUAGUUGGUGAGGUAAUGGCUCCACAAGGCUAUGACGCAGUACUGGUCUGAGAGGACAAUCAGUCACACUGGCACUGAGUCACGGUCCAGGUUCCUACGAGGGGAAGAAGUCUGGAAGAUUGCUCGAUGGGGUAAACCCUGAUGCAGCAACACCGCGUGAAGAAUAACACUUUUAUGAGCGUAAACUCCUUUUGUUAGGGAAGCGGUACCUAACGAAUAAGCACCGGCAAACACCGUGCCAGCAGCCACGGUGAUAG